CCUACGGGUGGCAGCAGUGAGGAAUAUUGGUCAAUGGUCGGGAGGCUGAACCAGCCAAGCCGCGUGAGGGAGGAAGGUACAGAGCAUCGUAAACCUCUUUUGUCAGGGAACAAAGGCAGGGACGAGUGCCCGGAUGAGGGUACCUGAAGAAAAAGCAUCGGCUAACUCCGUGCCAGCAGCCGCGGUAAUACGGAGGAUGCGAGCGUUAUCCGGAUUUAUUGGGUUUAAAGGGUGCGCAGGCGGACUGUUAAGUCAGCGGUAAAAGCCCGGGGCUCAACCCCGGCCCGCCGUUGAAACUGGCAGUCUCGAGUUGGAGAGAAGUAUGCGGAAUGCGCGGUGUAGCGGUGAAAUGCAUAGAUAUCGCGCAGAACUCCGAUUGCGAAGGCAGCAUGCCGGCUCCACACUGACGCUGAGGCACGAAAGCGUGGGUAUCGAACAGGAUUAGAUACCCUUGUAGUC
Molecule: ribosomal RNA, 459 nt
Filed under: uncultured bacterium
Lineage: Bacteria
Description: partial 16S ribosomal RNA
Rfam family: Bacterial small subunit ribosomal RNA
Source: RNAcentral